GCAUCGAUGGCCGAGUGGUUAAGGCGUCAGACUUGAAAUCUGAUGGGCAAUGCCCGCGCAGGUUCGAACCCUGCUCGAUGCG
Non-coding RNA from Bolinopsis microptera, 82 nucleotides. The record is from the annotation of a RefSeq genome assembly. Lineage: Eukaryota; Metazoa; Ctenophora; Tentaculata; Lobata; Bolinopsidae.